AAUAAGGUGCCUGAGAAAAGGGCUAUCUUGAUAGGAUAGAUUAUGCAUCUACAUGCCCUUAUUA
Molecule: transfer RNA, 64 nt
Filed under: Triatoma phyllosoma
Lineage: Eukaryota; Metazoa; Arthropoda; Insecta; Hemiptera; Reduviidae
Also listed under: 2 other names
Description: tRNA-Ile
Source: RNAcentral